RNAcentral lists this ribosomal RNA (451 nucleotides) under uncultured bacterium. Its description in RNAcentral is "bacterial SSU rRNA". It matches the Rfam family "Bacterial small subunit ribosomal RNA", at positions 354 to 796 of the family's 1533-position model. The record is from RNAcentral.
GUGGGGAAUAUUGGACAAUGGGGGGAACCCUGAUCCAGCCAUGCCGCGUGUGUGAAGAAGGCCUUUUGGUUGUAAAGCACUUUAAGCGAGGAGGAGGCUACCGAGAUUAAUACUCUUGGAUAGUGGACGUUACUCGCAGAAUAAGCACCGGCUAACUCUGUGCCAGCAGCCGCGGUAAUACAGAGGGUGCAAGCGUUAAUCGGAUUUACUGGGCGUAAAGCGCGCGUAGGCGGCCAAUUAAGUCAAAUGUGAAAUCCCCGAGCUUAACUUGGGAAUUGCAUUCGAUACUGGUUGGCUAGAGUAUGGGAGAGGAUGGUAGAAUUCCAGGUGUAGCGGUGAAAUGCGUAGAGAUCUGGAGGAAUACCGAUGGCGAAGGCAGCCAUCUGGCCUAAUACUGACACUGAGGUGCGAAAGCAUGGGGAGCAAACAGGAUUAGAAACCCCGGUAGUCC